AACGCGAAGAACUUACCUGGUCUUGACAUCCACAGAACUUGGCAGAGAUGCCUUGGUGCCUUCGGGAACUGUGAGACAGGUGCUGCAUGGCUGUCGUCAGCUCGUGUUGUGAAAUGUUGGGUUAAGUCCCGCAACGAGCGCAACCCUUAUCCUUUGUUGCCAGCGGUCCGGCCGGGAACUCAAAGGAGACUGCCAGUGAUAAACUGGAGGAAGGUGGGGAUGACGUCAAGUCAUCAUGGCCCUUACGACCAGGGCUACACACGUGCUACAAUGGCAUAUACAAAGAGAAGCGACCUCGCGAGAGCAAGCGGACCUCAUAAAGUAUGUCGUAGUCCGGAUUGGAGUCUGCAACUCGACUCCAUGAAGUCGGAAUCGCUAGUAAUCGUGGAUCAGAAUGCCACGGUGAAUACGUUCCCGGGUCUUGUACACACCG
Molecule: ribosomal RNA, 433 nt
Filed under: uncultured Citrobacter sp.
Lineage: Bacteria; Pseudomonadati; Pseudomonadota; Gammaproteobacteria; Enterobacterales; Enterobacteriaceae
Description: bacterial SSU rRNA
Rfam family: Bacterial small subunit ribosomal RNA
Source: RNAcentral